GNCCGCCCGGGAACUACGAGCAUCAGCUUAAAACCCAAAGGACUUGGCGGUGCUUUAGUACCCACCUAGAGGAGCCUGUUCUAGAACCGAUAAUCCCCGUUAAACCUCACCUUUCCUUGUUUUUCCCGCCUAUAUACCGCCGUCGUCAGCUUACCCCCUGAGGAACAUAGUAAGCAUAACUGGUAAUCCUAAAACGUCAGGUCGAGGUGUAGCGCAUGAGAGGGGAAGAAAUGGGCUACAUUCCCUAAAAUAGGGCAUCACGGACGAUGUAAUGAAACUUACAUCUUAAGGAGGAUUUAGCAGUAAGAGGAAAAUAGAGAGUUCC
Molecule: ribosomal RNA, 325 nt
Filed under: Capros aper (boarfish)
Lineage: Eukaryota; Metazoa; Chordata; Actinopteri; Caproiformes; Caproidae
Description: partial 12S ribosomal RNA
Rfam family: Bacterial small subunit ribosomal RNA
Source: RNAcentral